Molecule: non-coding RNA, 346 nt
Organism: Pelobates cultripes (western spadefoot toad)
Lineage: Eukaryota; Metazoa; Chordata; Amphibia; Anura; Pelobatidae
Source: the annotation of a GenBank genome assembly
UCCAGGCUACUAGGACGCAGCGAUUGGCGGAGGCACCCAGUUGGGGUGCCAGGUGGUCCAUCACAGUUAAUAUAAUAGCUUUUUAAUCAUGGAGCUUAAGUAGAACUAGCUAUACUGUGCCUUUGUGGGCACCUAAUCUUUGAGGUAAACUAACUGACUCAAUCUUAUUCUGCUCCAUGAAAACGGGUCGGUUCUCCCAUUCAAUAAACGGUCAGUCUAAGUAUCUGUUAGGUAUUGGAUUGAAUAUAGGUAUUACUUAGCUAUCGCUUCCAGAGGUAUAACCUGGGCGGCAGCAACGACCACAGUACACAUCAGCUCCAAUACAUAUAGUAAAAAACGAAGAAAG